GGACAAUCUGACCUAUGGAAGGGGAUAACCCCGGGAAACUGGGGAUAAUACCCUAUAGACUAUGGAGGCUGGAAUGCACUGUAGUCGAAAGGUCCGCCGCCAUAGGAUGGGUCUGCGGCCGAUUAGGUUGUUGUUGGGGUAACGGCCCAACAAGCCUGUAAUCGGUACGGGUUGUGGGAGCAAGAGCCCGGAGAUGGAUUCUGAGACACGAAUCCAGGCCCUACGGGGCGCAGCAGGCGCGAAAACUUUACAAUGCGGGAAACCGUGAUAGGGGAACUCCGAGUGCCCGUAAAAUCGGGCUGUCCACCAGUUUAAAUAACUGGUGAAGAAAGGGCCGGGCAAGACCGGUGCCAGCCGCCGCGGUAAUACCGGCGGCUCGAGUGGUGGCCACUAUUACUGGGCUUAAAGCGUUCGUAGCUGGUUUGUUAAGUCUCUGGGGAAAUCUUCCGGCUUAACCGGAAGGCGUCUCAGGGAU
Molecule: ribosomal RNA, 475 nt
Filed under: uncultured archaeon
Lineage: Archaea
Description: bacterial SSU rRNA
Rfam family: Archaeal small subunit ribosomal RNA
Source: RNAcentral